Molecule: ribosomal RNA, 487 nt
Filed under: uncultured bacterium
Lineage: Bacteria
Description: partial 16S ribosomal RNA
Rfam family: Bacterial small subunit ribosomal RNA
Source: RNAcentral
GAUUGAACGCUGGCGGCAUGCUUUACACAUGUAAGUCGAGCGGCAGCGCGGGGGCACCCCUGGCGGCGAGCGGCGAACGGGUGAGUAAUGCAUCGGAACGUAUCCUCGAGUGGGGGAUAACCCAGCGAAAGUUGGGCUAAUACCGCAUGAGCUCUGAGGAGGAAAGCGGGGGACCUGCGAGGGCCUCGCGCUGGAGGAGCGGCCGAUGUCCGAUUAGCUAGUUGGUGGGGUAAAGGCUUACCAAGGCGACGAUCGGUAGCUGGUCUGAGAGGAUGAUCAGCCACACUGGGACUGAGACACGGCCCAGACUCCUACGGGAGGCAGCAGUGGGGAAUUUUGGACAAUGGGGGCAACCCUGAUCCAGCCAUGCCGCGUGAGUGAAGAAGGCCUUCGGGUUGUAAAGCUCUUUCGGACGGAACGAAAUGGGCGGGACUAAUACUCCUGUCUGAUGACGGUACCGGAAGAAGAAGCACCGGCUAACUACGUG